Molecule: long non-coding RNA, 2198 nt
Organism: Mya arenaria
Lineage: Eukaryota; Metazoa; Mollusca; Bivalvia; Myida; Myidae
Exons: 3
Source: RefSeq, a predicted model, not a curated record
GAAGCAGACCCAGGAGGAACUGUCUGUUGAAGAACCCCCCCCCCACCAAGCUGCCCACCAGAGGCCAAGCUGUACUUGGUGUUUGCCAACAUGCUGUAAUUUCCAGCCUGGUUGCUGUAGCCACAGAGGAAUUUUCAAGGACAAGAACCAGUGCUGGUAAAACUGUGGUCUCUGUGGUUUUCCAUACCGGCUCUCGGCAAGGAUUUUCAAGAAAGGAAUACCAUCUCCAAAUCAUGAUGUGCCAAUAAGCUCCAGUUAGCUGCGGCCCUUUCCCCAGGCGGUAGUCCUGCAAUCUGAAUCCAGGAGAUGCAGCUCUGAAUCCAAUAUUUCAGAAGAAUGAAGAUGUUAGUCAAAUCUGUAGUACUUGUUUGUGUGUAAAUGAUUCCAUUGAGUGAGAUUUAUAGCAAAUCAGGUGUAAAUAAGCAUCUUAUAGACAAUAGUGAAGUGCUGUACUCUGAAUUUAAUGCCAAAUCUAGCCUUCAAAACAGAUUCUUAAAGUAAAAAAAAUUUAAAAAUGGGCAUAAUAAUGCUAUCUCUGCAUUUUCUACAUCAUGUAGCCACCUCAUACAUGAAAACACUAGCAGUUGUCAUGAAUCUUUAAGUUUUGGUGUGUUUUUUGCCAUUUCCUUUGUUGCGCCAUUUGUCCCGGAAGCUAACAAUUUGGCAUAUAGUGUUGUUUAGACUGUCUAUUAACACAUGAUCACUAAAUUUCUUGUGUUAAACUGGACAGUUCUGUUACCUUUGUAUAUAAGUGGACCAGAAAAGCAAAAUUUUGACAAGUUGAGGCAUUUCAGUUUGGCUCUAUGUCAUUUUUUAUAUAAAACACUAAGCCGAUGAAGUGGAAAAACCUUAUUUUGCUUGGAAAAAAAUCUUAAAAGAGUAGGCAGGCCAGUUCUGUGGUGCUGUUCUAUAGACACCAUUCAAAGCUACAAGGAAAACUUUACUUGGUCAAAUUAUUCCAAUGCAUAAGGAAAUAAUGGCUCUUCAAAGGUUUGCGGCUUAACAUUUGAGGGAAAUGGCUGUUUCUGCUUUUUAUGAAAAUACCACAGGUGCUAAUACUUGUCUCAUUCAUUUAGUGUUUGAUAUAUCAUUGCCAAACUUUCAGUAUGUGUUGCAUAUAGCCUGAAGCUGAACUAUAGGAGUUUUGAAGUCUGUUUCUGAAAAAAUGUUGCUUAAAUAGGCUCAAGACCACAGUUAUCUGCCCCCCGUUGACCAAGAUCCGGAUGUGAAUACAGAAACAAAGAGUGCUUGUGUUCAAGUAUCAAUAUUUUAUUAAAAUUGAAUGAAAAAGAAGCAAAAAAUGUUCUUUUUGCAGAGAACUUGACUGAAUUUGACACUCUAUUGCAGAAAUUGAUAGUUUUCAAUGUAAAUAUUGGAAAAAUCAUAGCUUGUGGAAGUCUGAAAAUUAGUUGUUUGUAGCCGAUUGACUCCCUGGCGGAAGGGUUAUGUAUUUGAACUCAAUUUUGACAGUCGGGUCAAUGGUCAACAUGGUGUUCUCUUGUGAUUAUAUUUUGUGUCUUGAAUUGUUCUAGAGAUGCCAUGUCCUUGUUUUUCAAUUGGGGUGUGUAUAAAGUCAAAAGCCAGGUUAGUGUCUAUAUGAAACAUAUAGUAAAAAUAACUGUGGUCUCACGCCAAAUCGGGUCAAAAUUUAUUGUCAGUCCAGAGUUACAGAUAAGGUGCGUAUUUCGUAAAUACGCAAUUAAAAUCAAAGAAAACUCAAUUGUUUUAAAAAUCGAUGAGUAAGAAAACGCAUAAGGAAAGGCAGAAUACGCAAUUAAUUUGAAGGACGCGGAAUUAAUUAAUAAUGAAAGUUGGAAACUCAUUUCGUCUAAUUUGCCGAAGUUGAUUCGAUUAAUGUAUUAACUCAGUUAAAAAUAGAUAAUGGUUUCCGUAAUUGGCCGAUCAUUUUCCGGAAGCAAGGCGGAAACAAUCUAAGACCUGGGGAUUUGCCUAAAAACGCUUUCCUUUGAAAAACGAGAAAAUACGAUGGUAUACGAUUAUAGACGGAUGCAGGCGGGAAGCUUGUUAUUUUCAACUGUUCCUGCGAAGAUGUCAACAAGGAAAAGAGGUCGAAAAAAGAUACCACCAACCCAGUCAAACUUGCUAACACUAGUAUUGCUAUUAUGAUAUUUUAAUGCCAUAGCUACUCUAAUGAAUGUGUGAUGUGAGUUAUUGUCAUAAUGAUAUACUUUGUAUAU